AGUGAACGCUGGCGGCAGGCCUAACACAUGCAAGUCGAGCGGCAGCGCGGGGGCAACCCUGGCUGCGAGCGGCGGACGGGUGAGGAAUUCGUCGGAAUCUGCCUUUUUGUGGGGGAUAACGUAGGGAAACUUACGCUAAUACCGCAUACGUCCUACGGGAGAAAGUGGGGGACCGCAAGGCCUCACGCAGAAAGAUGAGCCGACGACCGAUUAGCUAGUUGGUGGGGUAAAGGCCCACCAAGGCGACGAUCGGUAGCUGGUCUGAGAGGAUGAUCAGCCACACUGGGACUGAGACACGGCCCAGACUCCUACGGGAGGCAGCAGUGGGGAAUAUUGGACAAUGGGCGCAAGCCUGAUCCAGCCAUGCCGCGUGUGUGAAGAAGGCCUUCGGGUUGUAAAGCACUUUUGUCCGGAAAGAAAUCCCUGGAGCUAAUACCUUCGGGGGAUGACGGUACCGGAAGAAUAAGCACCGGCUAACUUCGUG
This 484-nucleotide ribosomal RNA is filed under the name uncultured bacterium. RNAcentral describes it as "partial 16S ribosomal RNA". It matches the Rfam family "Bacterial small subunit ribosomal RNA", at positions 29 to 507 of the family's 1533-position model. The record is from RNAcentral.